RNAcentral lists this ribosomal RNA (119 nucleotides) under Macleaya cordata. The record is from RNAcentral. Lineage: Eukaryota; Viridiplantae; Streptophyta; Magnoliopsida; Ranunculales; Papaveraceae.
GGGUGCGAUCAUACCAGCACUAAUGCACCGGAUCCCAUCAGAACUCCGCAGUUAAGCGUGCUUGGGCGAGAGUAGUACUAGGAUGGGUGACCUCCUGGGAAGUCCUCGUGUUCGACUCU